CAUUUCUGAAUGUCCAAAUGCCC
This 23-nucleotide non-coding RNA is filed under the name Rattus norvegicus (Norway rat). Lineage: Eukaryota; Metazoa; Chordata; Mammalia; Rodentia; Muridae. The record is from RNAcentral.